GAUGAACGCUGACAGAAUGCUUAACACAUGCAAGUCUACUUGAAUUUGGGUUUUUAACUUAGAUUUGGGUGGCGGACGGGUGAGUAACGCGUAAAGAACUUGCCUCACAGCUAGGGACAACAUUUAGAAAUGAAUGCUAAUACCUAAUAUUAUGAUAAUAGGGCAUCCUAUAAUUAUGAAAGCUAUAUGCGCUGUGAGAGAGCUUUGCGUCCCAUUAGCUAGUUGGAGAGGUAACGGCUCACCAAGGCGAUGAUGGGUAGCCGGCCUGAGAGGGUGAUCGGCCACAAGGGGACUGAGACACGGCCCUUACUCCUACGGGAGGCAGCAGUGGGGAAUAUUGGACAAUGGACCGAGAGUCUGAUCCAGCAAUUCUGUGUGCACGAUGAAGUUUUUCGGAAUGUAAAGUGCUUUCAGUUGGGAAGAAAGAAAUGACGGUACCAACAGAAGAAGUGACGGCUAAAUACGUGCCAGCAGCCGCGGUAAUACGUAUGUCACGAGCGUUAUCCGGAUUUAUUGGGCGUAAAGCGCGUCUAGGUGGUUAUAUAAGUCUGAUGUGAAAAUGCAGGGCUCAACUCUGUAUUGCGUUGGAAACUGUAUAACUAGAGUACUAGAGAGGUAAGCGGAACUAUAAGUGUAGAGGUGAAAUUCGUAGAUAUUUGUAGGAAUGCCGAUGGGGAAGCCAGCUUACUGGACAGAUACUGACGCUGAAGCGCGAAAGCGUGGGUAGCAAACAGG
RNAcentral lists this ribosomal RNA (735 nucleotides) under uncultured Fusobacterium sp. RNAcentral describes it as "bacterial SSU rRNA". It matches the Rfam family "Bacterial small subunit ribosomal RNA", at positions 28 to 776 of the family's 1533-position model. Lineage: Bacteria; Fusobacteriati; Fusobacteriota; Fusobacteriia; Fusobacteriales; Fusobacteriaceae. The record is from RNAcentral.